Molecule: ribosomal RNA, 510 nt
Filed under: uncultured bacterium
Lineage: Bacteria
Description: partial 16S ribosomal RNA
Rfam family: Bacterial small subunit ribosomal RNA
Source: RNAcentral
GACGAACGCUGGCGGCGUGCUUAACACAUGCAAGUCGAACGAAGAGCGAUGGAAGCUUGCUUCUAUCAAUCUUAGUGGCGAACGGGUGAGUAACGCGUAAUCAACCUGCCCUUCAGAGGGGGACAACAGUUGGAAACGACUGCUAAUACCGCAUACGAUCUAAUCUCGGCAUCGAGGAUAGAUGAAAGGUGGCCUCUACAUGUAAGCUAUCACUGAAGGAGGGGAUUGCGUCUGAUUAGCUAGUUGGAGGGGUAACGGCCCACCAAGGCGAUGAUCAGUAGCCGGUCUGAGAGGAUGAACGGCCACAUUGGGACUGAGACACGGCCCAGACUCCUACGGGAGGCAGCAGUGGGGAAUCUUCCGCAAUGGACGAAAGUCUGACGGAGCAACGCCGCGUGAGCGAUGACGGCCUUCGGGUUGUAAAGCUCUGUUAAUCGGGACGAAAGGCCUUCUUGCGAAUAGUGAGAAGGGUUGACGGUACCGGAAUAGAAAGCCACGGCUAACUACGUG